UUCUGCUUCCUGGAAUCCAGGCUGGCUUGGUGACUUGCCGACCACAGAACGCUGUGGAAGGGACAUUCUGGGGCUUCCCAUCUCCAACAUAAGAAGGUAAGAAGGCUGCAGCUUCCACCGGGCCUCUUGGGCUGUGUACUCUUGACACUCUUGCUCUGAGAACUAAGCAGGCAUAUUUCAUAUCAAAAUAGUAAAGAACUUCCUUUCCAAAGGCAGGACUUGCUUCUGUGAGGUACUGAGCCACCCGUCCCUGGAGGAAAGCAAGAACAGAGCAGAUCAGAGCCCAGGCAGACAUCUUGGAUGAUGGGUGAGAUCUUCCUGGGGUUCUUGCUGUACCUGCUGACAAGGGGCAGCUCUCUCUAAAUGCCACGGAGCUGGAAGGCUGCAGCCUGGAACUUGCUGCAGCCCACCCAGGCAAGCAAGAGAUGACAUAGUUUCAGCACCUGGAUCUAUGGCACCCAGAAGCCAGAUCCAACCCCCCAGCCCUUAUCUUUGACCUUGAGCCAGUCUGAACUGGUAACUGGAAGUCACUUAUCUACCAGAUUCAACUAUCAGGAUGUUACUAAUAAAAAAUGACUCCAAAAAUGAAAAUGUGUUUCACAAUAUUUUCAUGCAAAGACUUCGGGAUCUAUUUAUACUCGAC
RNAcentral lists this long non-coding RNA (643 nucleotides) under Homo sapiens (human). Its description in RNAcentral is "HSALNT0371648". Lineage: Eukaryota; Metazoa; Chordata; Mammalia; Primates; Hominidae. The record is from RNAcentral.